This is a long non-coding RNA of Penaeus chinensis, 663 nucleotides long. RefSeq lists it as uncharacterized. Lineage: Eukaryota; Metazoa; Arthropoda; Malacostraca; Decapoda; Penaeidae. The transcript is spliced from 3 exons. The record is from RefSeq and is a predicted model, not a curated record.
UGAGGACGGAAGGCGAGCAGAGGUGGAGUUGCAGGAUCUCUGUGUGACUAACUAGAUUACCGGUUAGAUAAGGCUGUAUUUGGAGGUGCCAGUGCCUGUGUUACACUUCGGCGUCGCCACAACACCGGCGCUUCGUUCACAUCGCGCGUGGAUCUCUCUUGGGAGCUUUGUUGUUCGUGGGGGAAUCGUGAGAAGGGAAAAAAGACUAUCACGAAACACCAAGAAUACAAGGAAAGCUUAAGCACUGCAGAGAGAGGACACACAAACGAACAAUCAAUAAGAGAAUCGAGAGAAAGAGAAUACCUCGCUGAGCGCUUACAACAUCAAACGUAGACAGUCACACGUGUCGGAAAACACAGUGCAACGACGGAGCCAGUUUACAAAAACGAUGGCAUUAGGUAAGGGCGCUAAGAAAACGACUUUUCUUCUUAGACACAGUAAGUACGAUAUGAAUAAAAAACCUAUUCCAUAUUGUUUUCUUUUUGUCUCGGUUUUUGUGAAAUAUGUCAAGAGCGAUCGGGAAUAUAUAACAUAAUAAGGCAGAAAUGAGUAAAAUAAUGAUUGAUUUGUUUUUUAUCCUUGCAGCUCCUUUGUUCGAGAUAUCUUAGCAGAUUAUCUAGAAAUAAAGAUCUUUGUAAAUGCAAUUACUAUGAUAUAUGUGUG